Molecule: ribosomal RNA, 328 nt
Filed under: uncultured eukaryote
Lineage: Eukaryota
Description: partial 18S ribosomal RNA
Rfam family: Eukaryotic small subunit ribosomal RNA
Source: RNAcentral
CCCUUAGAUGUCCUGGGCCGCACGCGCGUUACACUGAUGCAUUCAACGAGCUUAUAACCUUGGCCGAGAGGCCUGGGCAAUCUUGUUAACGUGCAUCGUGAUAGGGAUAGAUUAUUGAAAUUAUUAAUCUUGAACGAGGAAUUCCAAGUAAACGCAGAUCAUCAAUCUGCAUUGAUUACGUCCCUGCCCUUUGUACACACCGCCCGUCGCACCUACCGAUUGGAUGGUCCGGUGAAGCCUCGGGAUUGUGGUUCUUGCCGCUUUAUUGUGGCGUGACCGCGAGAACUUGUCUAAACCUUAUCAUCUAGAGGAAGGUGAAGUCGUAACA